This 4087-nucleotide long non-coding RNA is filed under the name Taeniopygia guttata (zebra finch). Its description in RNAcentral is "lncRNA (ENSTGUG00000023907.1)". Lineage: Eukaryota; Metazoa; Chordata; Aves; Passeriformes; Estrildidae. The record is from RNAcentral.
CUUCCCUUCCCUUCCCUUCCCUUCCCUUCCCUUCCCUUCCCGCUCAAACACCCCCGGGCACAGCAGCAUCUUGUGAGGUCCCGGUGCUGCCGAGCCCUGCGCAGGAGGAUCCCCGGGAUGUGCAGGGGAGCAAACCCCUCUGCGGAGGGGAUCCCAGCCCGGCCGGCGGAACGUGCCAGCGCCAUCCCGGCAAGGAGCAGCAGAGGCAGAACUGGCUGAACUCGUCCCACCGGUGACAUUCGGGAAGGGUGGCUGUGAGUGGCAUGCCAACCACGAUGUCCAGGCUCUCAGGAAUGCAUCCAGGAUCCGCCAGGGGAGCAUCGUUAGGCUGUCAGUCACUCCCCUGAGCACCUCGGGAUGCCGGCAGAGGAUUUCAAUCAAAUUCGUCAGAGCCGUCGUGUUUCUACAAGCUGGAAUGUGUGUCCGGGCCCGGGGACCCACCCAGGAGGGACGGGAAUGCCCCAGCUGCUCAUUCCGGGCUGGAUCCAAGAAGCCAGAGGGAGCUUGGAGCACGGCCAGGUGUCCUUCCAGGAGAAAAAGCUGCAGCUGCAACAGCCGCAUCCAGCCCCAGGAGUGAUCCUGCUCUGCAAGGCUGAGGAUUUUUGGAUGUUUCUGCAGCCUGCAGCGGGCACAGCGCUGUGCAGAGGGGCUGUGGGCACACACAGUGCCACCCUUGCUGCUCCAGCAGCAGUGACUGAGCUGGCACUGCCCAGGCACUUACAGAGAGCUGCUCUGGGGGAACAGCCACCCCUCACACGCCCAAAGCAGAGCCGGGCUGAGGGAAGCACUGCAGCAGCACCUGAGCCUGAAUUUCACCCAGCAGAGCCUCAGGCACACCCCGACUCACCCAGCACCCCUCUGCUCAAAGAGGAAAAUAACCACAGGCUACAGGCUGUGAGAAAAUAUACAGGUUUUUUUUUAUUUGACAAUUAACAAAAGAGGGAUCGGAAUCUCGGCUGUAAACAUUGAUAGCUCCUUUCUGAUCACAACGAGCACUUUCCACCAACAUCCCUUUGUAUGGCCUGAUCCAGCCAACAAUGCUGAGCCGACUCUGUCAGGGCUUUUGUCGCUCUGCUCAGGGUCACAAAUCCAGAGGCAGCUUAUUCACCACACACCCCCAGCAGGACCAGCCACCCACACAGAAGACAGCUGAGGGACUGAGAGACUUCAGAGCUGCUUCCAUACACGAGACACACUUGGAAAAGGCAGGAGAUCAUGCUGGGUUCGGGCAGAGAGAGGGAAACGUCUCCAAAGCCAGCUGGUCUGGAGAGAAAUGAGCCCUGCAAAAGGCAGAGCCUGCUCAAGCAGGGACAGGGACUGUGACAGUGCCAGCCCAGCCUGAUCACCCCAGCCCCGCUGUCAGAGGGAAGCUCUGGCCCAGGACUGUGAAAAUUUGGAGAUGCAGAGGCAGCAAGUUUGUCCCCAAGAGGGACUGGCACAUGGUCAGCUCCAUUGUUGCAGUGGAACCAGAACUGCCUGGAGCUUGACAGGGGGAAGUGAAACUUCAUCUUGGGCUGGAGGGCGGCCAGGGCUGGAGGAGCUGCACCCGCUGCCAGCCCUGCACAGGGCCUGUCCUGGGACAGACCCCUGCCAGCCCCCAGCCUCUCCCUGCCGUGGGUCAGCUGCACACCAGGACUGAGCCUGAGGGCUCCAGGCACCUCUGGGUGCUCAGAGCAGGGGAUGGAGCCGAGGAGAGCCAGCAGGGAGGGUCCCAGUGCCACCCCACCACGGCCAGCCUCCCCCUCCAGCAGCAGGGAAAGGGAAGGUGCACAACACCCAAGAACAGCAUUUAACACAGAAACCCCCCAAGCUGCAGGAGGGACCUGGCGAUGGCCACGGCGCUUCCCGGGGCUCAGAGCUGCUCUGGCACCGAGCAGACCCAGAACCAGGGGCUCAGCUGCCCCUUUCCAGGUGCCCAGAUGGUUCUGAGCCUGGUUUUUGGUGGGAGCAGGGCCAGGUCAUCUCCUCGUCACACCGCCCGGAUGGACAAGCAAAUAAAAAUAAUCAACAAAUUUGAAUACACUGUAUUUAUUCGUAACAGAUUCUAAAGAAUCUAGUGAGUCUAUGUCAAGCCCAUCGCAUGACAAGUGAUACAGGUGUAGGAAAAAAGACAUUUAAAACAAACAAAACAACGGAAAAAAAAUAUAUCAAGUGCCAUUCAAGCUACUGGAAUCUUCCAAUUGCCCCCUCACAGGAGGAGGCAGCACAGUAUCACUGCAAGGUCUAGAAAAUUCAGGUUCAAGCCACUCACAAGAGUCCCACCACACACACUCCAUAAAUCCAAAGUGCAAUCUCAAUGGUAGGUCGCCCUGUCGAGCUGUUGGCUGUAGGGGAUCUGCCUGGACAUCUCAAAGGGAAGGAGGGAAUCUCAGUUUAGUGUGUCUGUGGGUAGGAGCAGCCUGUAAAAAACAUGCUACAUGGCAUCUAUGUUCAGUUCCAAAUGCAAGAAAAACAAUCUCAUCUUCCUCAAAGCCCGGGAAGUGGCACAGUUUGGCUCCCAAAAGCAGCCCCACAGCAGUUUUACCUUGCAGGGGACACCCCAAGCUCCCAGCAGAGGGAUGAGGCUGGGGAGGGCCAUGAAGGCAGAGCUGAGCUGCAGGGAGGCAGCCAAACCUGCAAUCAGCACAGGGGCAGCGCUGCAGGGAGGCAGCUAAACCUGCAAUCAGCUCAGUGCCACUCCCCAUGCAGGGAGCAGAGCUGGGCCAGCUCAUACCCAGCGUCAGAGCCACCCCCACCCCCCUUACUGCCCACCCACAACGCCCCCACCCCAAAAAACGUACCAAUCUGGCUAUACACAUUCCAAGGAUCUAGUCUUUAUUUCAAUCUGCCCAGCUAUUACAGUUUUGUCACAAAAAAAAAAAAAAAAAAAAAAAAAACAACCCCCAAAAACCACAAGUUAGUAAAGACACUCGAGGAUCAGCACCAGGAAGCCGAGGUGCCCCCGGAGCAGCAUCCCUAGGGAAUGCCAGCUGCCUGCCCUCCCUGAAAUCAGAGCUCUCUGCGGGCAGGGCAGCCCUGGCACCUCCGAAAAACUUCUGUGCUCCGGACACUCAACAGCUUCAAAGCCACAUUUGGACUGAGAGAGCCAAACCCUCAAACACCAGAGGGUCUGUUUAGAAGACAUUUUUUCCCUAAGGCCAACUAACCUCACCCCCUUUCUGCCCCCAGGCUCCAUUUCUAGCUAGAGAAUGAAUUUCAAAUGCUUUCAGUGGCUCACACAGGGAAUACCGAGCUGGGAAUAGGCUGCUUUGGAGGUGGGACCUGCCCAAGGGAUGAUCUCCAGCAUGGCAGAGGCCUGUCCACCCCCCUGGAGGACAGAGCAACAGCUGGAAAUGACUGACCAGUGACCUGGAUGGUUUGUGCUUCAAAGGACAAGCCUCACCUUUCCCGAUGGCCCAGCUGGCCCGUGGCUUUGUGCAUUAAAAUCACACUGCAUGUCAAAAAAAAAAAAAAAAAGAAAAAACGAAGAGCAGCAUUUCAAAUUCCCCUAGAAAAUACAGGAUUAGGUAUGGCAGCCUGGGGCAAGCUCCUGGACAAAUCACCUGCCUCAUCGUUUAGAAACUCUACUGUAUUUUGGCACUGCAGACUUGGGAGCUUGAAGAAAUCCACGUGUAGGACCCUGCUGCCUUUUUUUCAGCAAGCCCUGCACAGCAUUUUCCACCAUGCACUCCCCCCUCCCCAGUGCUCCCAGUUUCAGCCAUUCCAACCCCCCCGGGCUGUGCAGCCCCACUUUGGCAGCUCUUUGCUGGUCCUUCACAGGCAGCAAGUGCUGCCCCAGCCCCUCAGCGACACAGGACCUGCUCUGGCCUCAGCCAGGAUAAGAAAUGAUCUGGCGACCCUCCCCACCCACGACAGAAACAUUUUCCUCUUCAGACAUUCCCCACUCAAGCUCUGGGCCAUCAGCCCCCGCAAAAAAUAAUAAAGUUUACAGUACAGUUGUGUUUCUUUUGUUACAGGCACUUAAACAGGAUUCUUUGGUCCUUCAAAGGAAUUAGCCACCCUGGCUUCUCUUGGCAGAAACCACAAGUUUGCACACCCAUAACACCUCCUGCACUAAAAAAACCCCACAAUUCAGAUCCAUUUCAGG